CCCCAGGUCAGGCGGGAUUACCC
RNAcentral lists this non-coding RNA (23 nucleotides) under Arabidopsis thaliana (thale cress). The record is from RNAcentral. Lineage: Eukaryota; Viridiplantae; Streptophyta; Magnoliopsida; Brassicales; Brassicaceae. RNAcentral also lists the same sequence under 1 other name.